RNAcentral lists this unclassified non-coding RNA (219 nucleotides) under Hevea brasiliensis (rubber tree). Lineage: Eukaryota; Viridiplantae; Streptophyta; Magnoliopsida; Malpighiales; Euphorbiaceae. The record is from RNAcentral.
GCACCAUAACAAUUUUGAAGGUACCAUACCUCCAUCUUUUGCUUCUUUGAGAAGUCUUGAAAAAAUUGAUCUAUCUCACAACAAUUUCUCUGGUGAGAUUCCAAAAUAUCUAGAGAAAUUUAGAUUGGAAUAUAUCAAUUUGUCAUUCAAUAAUUUUGAAGGUGAGGUUCCCAUCAAAGGAGUUUUUGCAAACUUUAGUGCAAUAUCAAUUGUAGGAAA